AGGGUGUAAACGCUGCAGACUUGGUGUUGGGAACCCUUCGGGGGUGCUCAGUGCCGGAGAGAAGUUGUUAAGUCUGCUACUUGGGGAGUACGUCCGCAAGGAUGAAACUUAAAGGAAUUGGCGGGGGAGCACCGCAACGGGAGGAGCGUGCGGUUUAAUUGGAUUCAACGCCGAAAAACUCACCAGCAGCGGCUGUUACAUGAAAGUCAGGUUGAUGACCUUACUAGAUUUUCAGAGAGGUGGUGCAUGGCGUCAGUGACU
Molecule: ribosomal RNA, 261 nt
Filed under: uncultured archaeon
Lineage: Archaea
Description: partial 16S ribosomal RNA
Rfam family: Archaeal small subunit ribosomal RNA
Source: RNAcentral